This 460-nucleotide ribosomal RNA is filed under the name uncultured bacterium. Its description in RNAcentral is "partial 16S ribosomal RNA". It matches the Rfam family "Bacterial small subunit ribosomal RNA", at positions 338 to 795 of the family's 1533-position model. The record is from RNAcentral.
CCUACGGGUGGCAGCAGUGAGGAAUAUUGGUCAAUGGACGCAAGUCUGAACCAGCCAUGCCGCGUGCAGGAAGACGGCUCUAUGGGUUGUAAACUUCUUUUGUAGGGGAAUAAUAGUUCUUACGUGUAGGGAUUUGCAUGUAUCUUACGAAUAAGGAUCGGCUAACUCCGUGCCAGCAGCCGCGGUAAUACGGAGGAUUCGAGCGUUAUCCGGAUUUAUUGGGUUUAAAGGGUGCGUAGGCUGUUUGUUAAGUUAGCGGUCAAAUGUUGGGGCUUAACCCUGUGAUUGCCUCUGAUACUGUUAGACUAGAGUGUGUAUGAGGCAGGCGGAAUGAGUAGUGUAGCGGUGAAAUGCUUAGAUAUCACUCAGAACACCGAUUGCGCAGGCAGCUUGCUAAGCCGCAUCUGACGCUCAUGCACGAAAGUGUGGGUAUCGAACAGGAUUAGAUACCCCAGUAGUC